Molecule: long non-coding RNA, 638 nt
Organism: Malania oleifera
Lineage: Eukaryota; Viridiplantae; Streptophyta; Magnoliopsida; Santalales; Ximeniaceae
Exons: 2
Source: RefSeq, a predicted model, not a curated record
UUUGUAUCAUCUUCUCCAUCUAUUGAUGAACUCCCACGACUCUUCGGGUGGAUUUGGCGAUUAUGCGGCCUCACCAUUGAAAUUCCAAGUUUUCUAGCUUUAUGGCAUGUUGGCUUGGCUGGACGAUUGAUUUUACGAGGGGGUCUUUUCGAAAAAUUGAGAGAAGGAGGCAGAACAUUCUGCGCGUGUCAUGAAUUGUUCAUCUAUUUUGAGAUUUUGUAUUUCUAGAAAAGAUGUUGAUGCCCAAAGCAAUCCUACGCUAGUUCGUAGAUGAACCCUCUAUGAAGGGUAAAGGUGUGAAGUGGGGCUGUGAAUUGAGUUGUAGAUAGGUCAGCUUGGAGCAGCACAGAGUGGCCGGAAGAUGAGGAAGAAAGAUUCGCAGGCGUUCGACCAUAAGCACCUAUUCCCUUCGAUCAACGGAGACUUUUUUGAAGUGUUUGGUGCUUCGAACUGAUGAUGUCACGAGUUCAAGGGAGAAUGUAGCGAUUGCAAGUCCUUCAAGCGAUCGAGCUUAGAAGCUUUCGGGGCAGGGUUUAGAAUUUUGGUAAAUUUUGGGUGGUUGUAAGAACAAUUAUAUAUACAUUUUAUGUUUAAAUUUCUAGUUAUGAAAUAUUAAGUGGAUGAAUAUACACUUUGGG